CGGCACAAAAGUGAGCUAGUGUAUGGUCGCCGGAACGAAUCCGAUCCCGGUCCGAUCCGUACGAUAAAGCCUGUGAUCAAAGCAGGAAAAGAUCGUCAGUCCAACCUUUUUUAGCCCAGACAGACAUCUAAACCACCCGACGACGACUCGCUCAAACCCAAACCCAAGGCCAGCUCAGCAAAUCAGCGACUCGGCUCCCUCCCCCUUCCUCCUCUCCCCUCCCCCCUUCCGCCUCCGCGACUCCCCGCCCCCUUUCACACCGCCCUCAUCGCCCUCCUCCGAUCCAAGAGCGCAGGCGAGCGGCGCGGCGCGGCGCGGGGACGGGAUGGCGGCGGCGCCGCCCGACGGGCAGGAGAAGGUGAUCGCGGCGGCGCAGCAGAUCGUCAAGUCGCUCGCCAACUCUAAGAACGCCGCGGACGACAUGAUCCGCAUCCUCUCCGGCUUCGACAACCGCUUCUCCCUCAUGUCCGACCUCUUCCCGGACGCCGGCGCCCCCGACGCCGCGGCCGGCUCCGAGCUGCCGGAGGGGGAAGAGGAGGAGGAGGGGGAGUACGGGCGGGAGCGGGGGCCGCCCGGCCCCGGCUUCGGCGGCGACGACGACGACCUGGAGGACGAGAGAGACGCGGCGGUGGAGGAAGCGCUGCGGCUGGUGGAGCAGUGGGACUCCCCCGCGGCCGGGGACCGGCUGGUGUUCGAGUCGCCCGAGGACGCCGAGGAGUACCUCGCCGCGGCCGCCUGCCUCAUGGGCGAGGCCGGCCCGCGCGUCGAGGCCGCGCUGCAGGUCGCCAUGGCGCGCCUCGAGGAGGAGUUCCGCCAGCUGCUCAUCCGCGGGACCGCGUCGCUCGCCGCCGAGGACCUGCACGCGUCCCUCCUCCGCCGCCUCUCGCUCACGGUGCCCACCUUCCACUCCGCCUCCUCCGUCGACCUCGACUGCCCCUCCUUCGCCAGCCACGCCGACGAGGGCGACGAGUCCUCCGGCGCGGGCAGGUGGAGCUCCGCCUCCGAUGGCGAGAUCUCGCCCUACCUCAUUUCCCCCGACACCGUCAGCACCCUCAAGGACAUCGCGGACGUCAUGCUGCGCGCUGGCUAUGGGCCGGAGCUCUGCCAGGUCUACAGCGAGGUGCGCCGGGACACGCUCAUGGAGUGCCUCGCCGUGCUUGGGGUCGACAAGAUGAGCCUGGAAGAGGUGCAGCGCGUGGAGUGGGGCGUCCUCGAUGGCAAGAUGAAGAAGUGGAUCCAGGCUCUCAGGGUCGUCGUCCAGGGCCUUCUCGCCGAGGAGCGCCGCAUCUGUGGCCAGAUCCUUGCGGCCGACGCAGAUGCCGAGGAGGAGUGCUUUACUGAGGCGGCCAAGGGGUGUGUCCUGCAGCUGCUCAACUUCGGUGAUGCCAUUGCGAUUGGCAAGAGAUCGUCCGAGAAGCUGUUCCGCAUUCUUGGUAUGUACGAGGCGCUAGCUGAGUUGCUGCCAGAGCUCGAGGCCUUGUUCUCAGGGGAUGCAAGGGAUUUCAUCAAGGAAGAGGCAGAGGGGAUACUUGUCAGGCUAGGGGAUGCGGUGCGUGGCACGGUCGCUGAGUUUGCCAAUGCGAUACGUGGGGAGACUUCUCGCAGAUCACUGCCAGGGGGCGAGAUCCACCCGCUUACGCGUUAUGUCAUGAAUUAUGUGCGACUGCUUGCAGAUUACAGCCGCUGGCUGAAUCAUCUUCUUGAUGGUUGCGAGACUGAGCUGGAAAAUGGGGGUGACAAUGCGGAUAUGACUCCACUGGGUCACUGUCUGCUCAUACUGAUCACACAUCUAUUGGACAAGAUUGAGGAUAAAGCGAAGCUGUAUGAUGAUGAGGCACUGCAGAACAUAUUUUUGAUGAACAAUCUGUGGUAUGUUGUGCAGAAGAUCAAGGAUUCAGAGCUAAAGAGUUUGCUUGGGGAUAACUGGAUCCGUAAGCGCCGUGGUCAGAUAAGGAGGUACUCUACAGGGUACCUCCGAUCCUCAUGGACCAGGGUAUUAGCUUGCCUGAGGGAUGAUGGGUUGCCACAGACAACAGGUUCAUCGAGUGCACUCAAGGCUGCCCUGAAGGAAAGGUUCAAGAGCUUCAACUUGGCUUACGAGGAGUUAUACAGGACACAGACAGCAUGGAAGGUUGUGGAUCCUCAGUUAAGAGAAGAGUUGAAGAUUUCCAUCUCAGAGAAGGUCCUUCCAGCAUACCGUUCGUUUGUUGGAAGGUUCCGAGGGCAGCUGGAGGGGGGAAGGAAUUUCGCAAAGUAUAUAAAGUACAACCCUGAGGAUGUGGAGAACCAGGUCUCAGAUUUCUUUGAAGGGAAAAAAUUGAAUGCUUGAUCAAACUGUCUAUGUUUGAAGGCAGUGUGCUAGGAACCUGCCCUACCAUCAUGCUUGUGGGGUUCGAAGAUGGAGAAAUCAAUUUUGACUGCUGCUGGAGCAGAAAUAUUGUGAAUGCAAGGCACCCUGGCUGGAAUACUUUGCGUGCCAUCUUUGACUCUUUUUAAGGGGAGUGCUGACAUUGGCGCUUCCACAUGGGAUUUAGGACACUGCGCGGUUAUGUUCACUUUCCCCUUGUUGCAAUUUCCGUUAUCUGCUGAUUAGUUGGUUGCUGGCAGGAAGUAUAGUAAUAUGAUGAUGAUAAAAGAAAAGUAAGUAUAGUAGCUUAUCGGAUAACUAAAAAGACCACAACCUAUGACUUUGAAUCCAGUUUCGUGAAUUCGUC
This 2714-nucleotide ribosomal RNA is filed under the name Triticum aestivum (bread wheat). RNAcentral describes it as "partial small subunit ribosomal RNA". The record is from RNAcentral. Lineage: Eukaryota; Viridiplantae; Streptophyta; Magnoliopsida; Poales; Poaceae.